Molecule: transfer RNA, 71 nt
Filed under: Rhizobium sp. Root1220
Lineage: Bacteria; Pseudomonadati; Pseudomonadota; Alphaproteobacteria; Hyphomicrobiales; Rhizobiaceae
Description: tRNA-Arg
Rfam family: tRNA
About the family: Transfer RNA (tRNA) molecules are approximately 80 nucleotides in length. Their secondary structure includes four short double-helical elements and three loops (D, anti-codon, and T loops).
Source: RNAcentral
GAACCCGCCUCUAAAAGAGCACCAGAUUCCUAAUCUGGGGGUCACGCGUUCGAAUCGCGUCGGGAUCACCA